RNAcentral lists this ribosomal RNA (496 nucleotides) under uncultured bacterium. RNAcentral's name for it is "bacterial SSU rRNA". It matches the Rfam family "Bacterial small subunit ribosomal RNA", at positions 29 to 520 of the family's 1533-position model. The record is from RNAcentral.
AUUGAACGCUGGCGGCAUGCUUUACACAUGCAAGUCGAACGGUAACAGGCCUUCGGGUGCUGACGAGUGGCGAACGGGUGAGUAAUGCAUCGGAACGUGCCCAAUCGUGGGGGAUAACGUAGCGAAAGUUACGCUAAUACCGCAUAAGCCCUGAGGGGGAAAGUGGGGGACCGCAAGGCCUCACGCGAAUGGAGCGGCCGAUGUCAGAUUAGCUAGUUGGUGGGGUAAAGGCCCACCAAGGCGACGAUCUGUAGCGGGUCUGAGAGGAUGAUCCGCCACACUGGGACUGAGACACGGCCCAGACUCCUACGGGAGGCAGCAGUGGGGAAUAUUGGACAAUGGGCGCAAGCCUGAUCCAGCAAUGCCGCGUGUGUGAAGAAGGCCUGCGGGUUGUAAAGCACUUUUGUUCGGGAAGAAAUCAUGCUGGUUAAUACCUGGUAUGGAUGACGGUACCGAAAGAAUAAGCACCGGCUAACUUCGUGCCAGCAGCCGACGG